Molecule: ribosomal RNA, 357 nt
Filed under: Triticum aestivum (bread wheat)
Lineage: Eukaryota; Viridiplantae; Streptophyta; Magnoliopsida; Poales; Poaceae
Description: partial small subunit ribosomal RNA
Source: RNAcentral
AUGGGCAUCCAGGCGAGCCGCGCCCUCGCCGCGCUCCUCCUGGCGGCGCUGGCCGCCGCGACCCUGCGGGGCGCCUCGGCGGUGGUGCAGUGCGGCCAGGUGACGCAGCUGAUGGCGCCCUGCAUGCCGUACCUCAGCGGCGCCCCCGGGAUGACGCCCUACGGCAUCUGCUGCAACAGCCUCGGGGUGCUCAACCAGCUCGCCGCCAGCACCGCCGACCGCGUCGCCGCCUGCAACUGCGUCAAGGCGGCCGCCAGCGGGUUCCCGGCCGUCGAUUUCAGCCGCGCCGCAGCUCUCCCCGCCGCCUGCGGGCUCGCCAUCAACUUCGCCGUCACCCCCAACAUGGACUGCAACCAG